AUACGUAGGGGGCGAGCGUUGUCCGGAAUGAUUGGGCGUAAAGGGCGCGUAGGCGGCGCGGUAAGUCUGGAGUGAAAGUCCUGCUUUCAAGGUGGGAAUUGCUUUGGAUACUGCCGCGCUUGAGUGCAGGAGAGGUUAUCGGAAUUCCCGGUGUCGCGGCGAAAUGCGUAGAGAUCGGGAGGAACACCAGUGGCGAAGGCGGGUAACUGGACUGCAACUGACGCUGAGGCGCGAAAGUGUGGGGAGCAAACAGGAUUAGAUACCCUGGUAGUCCACACUGUAAACGAUGAAUGCUAGGUGUAAGAGGUAUCGACCCCUUUUGUGCCGGAGUCAACACAAUAAGCAUUCCGCCUGGGGAGUACGGCCGCAAGGUUGAAACUCAAAUGAAUUGGCGGGG
RNAcentral lists this ribosomal RNA (397 nucleotides) under uncultured bacterium. RNAcentral's name for it is "partial 16S ribosomal RNA". It matches the Rfam family "Bacterial small subunit ribosomal RNA", at positions 523 to 918 of the family's 1533-position model. The record is from RNAcentral.